Molecule: ribosomal RNA, 253 nt
Filed under: uncultured bacterium
Lineage: Bacteria
Description: partial 16S ribosomal RNA
Rfam family: Bacterial small subunit ribosomal RNA
Source: RNAcentral
UACGGAGGAUGCGAGCGUUAUCCGGAAUUAUUGGGCGUAAAGCGUCCGUAGGUGGUCAUGCAAGUCUGCCGUUAAAGAAUGGAGCUUAACUCCAUAGGAGCGGUGGAAACUGCAAGACUAGAGUACAGUAGGGGUAGCAGGAAUUCCCAGUGUAGCGGUGAAAUGCGUAGAUAUUGGGAAGAACAUCGGUGGCGAAAGCGUGCUACUGGGCUGAAACUGACACUGAGGGACGAAAGCUAGGGUAGCGAAAGGG